CCUCCAGUCUGAGGAGACAAGACCAGCUGAGGAUCCAGCGAGCCUGGAUGACAGAACAGAAGGGAGUUGACUAGAAGCCAAGGCUGUGGGAGCAGCAGCUAAAGAGCAGCAUGGGACUCUAUCACCUAAUAGCCAAGACACUGAACAUCAUGGUGGCAAAAAUCACAUGGUGGAAGGUUUUCCUACAUCACGGUAUACUGGAAACAGAAAGAGAAGUACAGGAAGAAGUCAAAGCUACAUACAACACAAGGAAAUACCCAUAGUGAACCACUUCCUCCAACUAGUCCCCGCCUCUGACUUUUCACUACUUCUCAAUAAUAAUGUCAUAUUAAUACCCAUCAAUAAAUUAAUUCAUUCAAUAAA
Molecule: long non-coding RNA, 363 nt
Organism: Peromyscus leucopus (white-footed mouse)
Lineage: Eukaryota; Metazoa; Chordata; Mammalia; Rodentia; Cricetidae
Exons: 3
Source: RefSeq, a predicted model, not a curated record